This 28-nucleotide non-coding RNA is filed under the name Homo sapiens (human). The record is from RNAcentral. Lineage: Eukaryota; Metazoa; Chordata; Mammalia; Primates; Hominidae.
UGGAGACGGACUGGCCUGGAAUCGUUUA